Molecule: ribosomal RNA, 359 nt
Filed under: uncultured bacterium
Lineage: Bacteria
Description: bacterial SSU rRNA
Rfam family: Bacterial small subunit ribosomal RNA
Source: RNAcentral
AGAGUUUGAUCAUGGCUCAGGAUGAACGCUAGCUACAGGCUUAACACAUGCAAGUCGAGGGGAAACGACAUCGAAAGCUUGCUUUUGUAUGGGCGUCGACCGGCGCACGGGUGAGUAACGCGUAUCCAACCUGCCCACCACUUGGGGAUAACCUUGCGAAAGUAAGACUAAUACCCAAUGAUAUCUCUAGAAGACAUCUGAAAGAGAUUAAAGAUUUAUCGGUGAUGGAUGGGGAUGCGUCUGAUUAGCUUGUUGGCGGGGUAACGGGCCCACCAAGGCAACGAUCAGUAGGGGUUCUGAGAGGAAGGUCCCCCACCAUUGGAACUGAGACACGGUCCAAACUCAUACGGGAGGCAGCA